CACAGACACACCCAGAAGUAAAGAAUAAUAUAUAAAUAGCUUCCUGGGGAUCCUUCAGAAUGUCUUCCUGUUUGUGUAUCCUCUACUAUCAAUGCAAAGUACCUCUCAUCCAAUUUUCCACAGUCAACCCAAUGCGAAUACAAUCGACCCUCUGCGUCCUACUGUUCUGCAUCCCUGGAUUCAACCAACCAUCCAUUGAAGAUAUUUGGAAACAAAAACUGCACUUCUAGAGCAGCAAGAGACAUAGCACUCCUCCCCUGCAGAGACCACAGAAUCAUGGCGUCAUCUUGGAAGCAAAGAACAGCCCUCACCAGACACUAAACCUGUUGGCACUUUGAUGUUGGACUUCCCAGCAUCCAGAACUCUAAAAACUAAAAUUACUCAGUGCUUGUUAUUUUGUUCUAGCACACAAAUGGACUAAGAUAUUGCUAUAUUUUCUAGUGUUGAAAAUACAUUCAAUGUAACAAUUGCCCUCAGAUGUUGUCUAACAUAUAACUAAGAUCUAAAAAAUGCAACAAAAGCUUUGUGUUUUAGACUGGUGUUGUAUAUAAGAGUAAGAGGAGAGACAGGAAACUAGCCUGAUUUGAGAGGGAUGUAUUUGGGGCACCCAGUGUAACACCACACACAUAGAAGCCAAUAAAUAAAUGUUUGUUGAGUUAAUAAAAAGUGAGGUCUGUGAACAGGGGACUUUAUUAUUAUGGGAGGCACAGGGUGCAGUAGAAAUGGCUCUGGCCUUGAGGACACAUCUGUCCUGCACAUCUUUUGCUGCUCCUUCAUCCACUCCAGCCCUUAUGUACCUUAUGUACCUUAUGUACCCAUGAUGGCCUCCACUUGAGCUCUCUCCCCUUCUGGCUCUCAGAUAGGUAGGGCCAGUGGGGAGCAAUGGGAGAGGUCAGAGGGAGAAGGGAAGAGAAGGAGGCCACAGUACUCAAUCCUUGACCCCUUCCUUGUAAUGUCUAGGGAUAGCUGUGUCUCCCAAUCACAAGCCACUGUCCUGCCCUUUUUGACCUCCGACCCCAUCAACAUUCCAAGGGUGGAAAUGGUGAGGUUGGUGCUCUCCUCUGGGCACUGUUGUAACCUGUGGCUUCCCAACACCCUGCUGUAAACAGUCUUUUGAUGAAAGUCUUCUCAAAUUGCUUAAUUUGGACAGUGACAGCCUUUCCCACAUGGGCCUGUACAGCUAUGCUUGUUCAUAGGGAACACUUGGUUUUGUGCAGUAAAAAUCCAGUGAAGUGUGUUAAAGAAAAAAGCAAAGACAUGGGGUGAUGCAUGAGAAGCUGUUGAGUAACUUCUAGGGCCCAGAGGCAAGGUCAUCAGAACCCUUCCCAUGUGGUGCCAGAACUGGAACUAGAAGGUCAGCAGGAAGUAAAAUGGCCAUGCAAGGCACCCCUCCAGGCCUCAGUGGGGCUUUCAUAGCUGCUUCCCUCUGCAUGUCCCCCUGUCUCUCCCCACUAGCCAUGCCUGUCUCUCUUGGUUUCCCUGGUGAGAGAUGUUCCUCCCUUAAUUUACAGGUUCACAUGUUCUUAACUCAACUCACUAAGGUUCACAAUGCCUCUUAGGCCUUAAAAGAAUAACUAGGCUUUUCCACACAGGGCCAACACUCCACGCUUAUCCAAUUAGCUAUGGCAGGAGGAUCUGGGUCUGUUGUAUUUCUGCCUUCAUGAAUGAGGAAACAGUGGUAUAGUUACAUAAUUUUUAAGGUCACAUGGUGGUAGGACAAGAGCUGAGAAUAAGAACUGUAUACCUCCACAGUUUAUGCUCUUUCUAAUAGAAGAAGAAUAAAUAAUCACAGAAGUUGGGUAAUGAAGAAAGUGAGAAAUGGAAAUACUAAGUAUUUUGGCUACUUGUCCCAAGUGCAGGGUGAGCUGCUCUGAGUGUAGGGUGAGAAGCCCUCUGAGAGGGAAGCCGUCUGUACUCAGCAGGCUCUGUAAUAGGAGUCUGCUACAGGAGAGAUGACGGGACACUCUUUAACCCAAUGUACAGACCUGGGGUCAUGAUCAUUCACAGCUAUGCAGAGAAGACCACAAUUUAUGCCAGCUUUGAAUUACACUGUGGCAGUGUGAAAUCAAAGCAGAGCCUAUAUUUCAUUUCUUAUUCACACACUUGGUAAAGUGACUAAUGAUGUUUAUUUCUACAUUUAGUACAGUGACAAAUGAUGUUGAGGAUCUUUUCGUGUGCUUAUUGACUACUCUUAUAUCUUAUUUAAGAAUAUC
Molecule: long non-coding RNA, 2213 nt
Organism: Heterocephalus glaber (naked mole-rat)
Lineage: Eukaryota; Metazoa; Chordata; Mammalia; Rodentia; Bathyergidae
Source: RefSeq, a predicted model, not a curated record